RNAcentral lists this transfer RNA (73 nucleotides) under Ophiocordyceps sinensis. It matches the Rfam family "tRNA". Rfam says of the family: Transfer RNA (tRNA) molecules are approximately 80 nucleotides in length. Their secondary structure includes four short double-helical elements and three loops (D, anti-codon, and T loops). Further hydrogen bonds mediate the characteristic L-shaped molecular structure. tRNAs have two regions of fundamental functional importance: the anti-codon, which is responsible for specific mRNA codon recognition, and the 3' end, to which the tRNAs corresponding amino acid is attached (by aminoacyl-tRNA synthetases). tRNAs cope with the degeneracy of the genetic code in two manners: having more than one tRNA (with a specific anti-codon) for a particular amino acid; and 'wobble' base-pairing, i.e. permitting non-standard base-pairing at the 3rd anti-codon position. The record is from Rfam by way of RNAcentral. Lineage: Eukaryota; Fungi; Ascomycota; Sordariomycetes; Hypocreales; Ophiocordycipitaceae. RNAcentral also lists the same sequence under 1 other name.
GAGAAAUAAGUUUAUUUAGUAGAAUGUUUAUCUUAUAUAUAAAAUAUUAAAGGUUUAAAUCCUUUAUUUCUUG